AUCUCUCCGUCCAGAACAAGAUGCUGCUCCUAUAACUUCUGCAGUUGUGGUGCUAUGGUUUCAGAUUCAUCUCCACAUUUUGAAUUUCAAGUGGAUUCACAGAAAUACAAGAGAGACUUCAAAGGAGGAAAGGAAUUGUUAUCAGAAGAUGAUGCUUGCCAGAACACAGGGUGCCCUCUGACAAGCAGGACUUCAGCUCCAUUAAACAUCCCCACGCCCUCGGAACAGAAGACUCAGUGUUCUGUAUUCUUAUGGCUUGGAACAAGCAAAUAUUUCCUCACAAGCAAAUAUUUCCUCCUGUACAUUUCUGAAGUGAUCUCUCUUGCACAACAGCAGUAUGCAUUCAGGCAGUUCACUCUAAUUAUCGCUUUGUAACAUUUUGCAUCUGCUUCUGUUAAGUCACUGAAGUUCCUAGUAUGUUUUCUUGAGUUUUUUUAUUUUUAAACAACUUGUGUCUGUGUCUGUCAACAGCUGCCCUCUUCAUUUUAUGCACUUUGAAUGCAUUCAUUUUCUACAGUGUGUCUUGAUACUGCAGCUCAGCUCCAAGCUGGAACCCACAGCAGUCCUUUGACAGGCUCUCUGUUAGGCUUUCAGGUCAUCCCUAAUUUCAGGUUUUCUUCCAGACUCAUAGAUUUUGUUGUUGAAUGACAAAUAAUACAAUUUAAGCUCUCACAGAAGUGUAGGAACUCCUAGUUCUGCUCUCUCCAGCUGGAGCCAGAAGCAGGCUGGAACACGUGGGUGAGAUAUUUGUAUCCUUGGAGUUAGCUGGUGUCACCCACUCCAUCAAGGUGGGGGUCAGUCUCCUCUCCCAGGUAAAAAGCAAUAGCACAAAGAGGAAAGGACCACAAGUUGUACCAGGGGAGGUUUAAAUUGGAUGUUAGGAAAAAUUUCUUCACUGAAAGGGGGGUCAAGCACUGCAACAGGCUGCCUAGGGAAGUGGAGGCAUUUAAGAGUUGCAUAGAUGUGGCACUUAGGGAUAUGGUUUAGCGGUAGACUUAGCACUGCUGCUUUAACAGUUGGACUCAGUGGUCUCAGAAGUUGUUUCCAGCCUUAAUGAUUCUAUUGUGGGUUCCAACCCAUUUGUAGUAAAGUAAUGGAAUUCCAAAAAAACCGCAGAAUAAAAGUAUAGUACUUUAAAAAGUGUAUUUUAAG
Molecule: long non-coding RNA, 1152 nt
Filed under: Serinus canaria (Common canary)
Lineage: Eukaryota; Metazoa; Chordata; Aves; Passeriformes; Fringillidae
Description: lncRNA (ENSSCAG00000009674.1)
Source: RNAcentral